AACGAACGCUGGCGGCAUGCCUAACACAUGCAAGUCGAACGAGACCUUCGGGUCUAGUGGCGCACGGGUGCGUAACGCGUGGGAACCUGCCCUUAGGUUCGGAAUAACUCCCCGAAAGGGGUGCUAAUACCGGAUAAUGUCUUCGGACCAAAGAUUUAUCGCCUUUGGAUGGGCCCGCGUUGGAUUAGCUAGUUGGUAGGGUAAAAGCCUACCAAGGCGACGAUCCAUAGCUGGUCUGAGAGGAUGAUCAGCCACACUGGGACUGAGACACGGCCCAGACUCCUACGGGAGGGAGCAGUGGGGAAUAUUGGAAAAUGGGCGAAAGCAUGAUCCAGCAAUGCCGCGUGAGUGAUGAAGGCCUUAGGGUUGUAAAGCUCUUUUACCCGGGAUGAUAAUGACAGUACCGGGAGAAUAAGCUCCGGCUAACUCCGUG
Molecule: ribosomal RNA, 433 nt
Filed under: uncultured bacterium
Lineage: Bacteria
Description: partial 16S ribosomal RNA
Rfam family: Bacterial small subunit ribosomal RNA
Source: RNAcentral